This 497-nucleotide ribosomal RNA is filed under the name uncultured bacterium. RNAcentral's name for it is "partial 16S ribosomal RNA". It matches the Rfam family "Bacterial small subunit ribosomal RNA", at positions 28 to 507 of the family's 1533-position model. The record is from RNAcentral.
GACGAACGCUGGCGGCGUGCCUAAUACAUGCCAGUAGAACGCUGAAGAGAGGAGCUUGCUCUUCUUGGAUGAGUUGCGAACGGGUGAGUAACGCGUAGGUAACCUGCCUUGUAGCGGGGGAUAACUAUUGGAAACGAUAGCUAAUACCGCAUAACAAUGGAUGACACAUGUCAUUUAUUUGAAAGGGGCAAUUGCUCCACUACAAGAUGGACCUGCGUUGUAUUAGCUAGUAGGUGAGGUAAUGGCUCACCUAGGCGACGAUACAUAGCCGACCUGAGAGGGUGAUCGGCCACACUGGGACUGAGACACGGCCCAGACUCCUACGGGAGGCAGCAGUAGGGAAUCUUCGGCAAUGGGGGCAACCCUGACCGAGCAACGCCGCGUGAGUGAAGAAGGUUUUCGGAUCGUAAAGCUCGGUUGUAAGUCAAGAACGGGUGUGAGAGUGGAAAGUUCACACUGUGACGGUAGCUUACCAGAAAGGGACGGCUAACUACGUG